This 678-nucleotide long non-coding RNA is filed under the name Solanum tuberosum (potato). RNAcentral describes it as "long non-coding RNA (STUB_LNC011809)". The record is from RNAcentral. Lineage: Eukaryota; Viridiplantae; Streptophyta; Magnoliopsida; Solanales; Solanaceae.
UCAAUAACCGCUACGCACAAGGGAGCUAAAACUUAUACUAGCUUCUCCUGCUGAAAUAUAAUCCUUUGAAUGCUAAGACACGUUGGAGUGUUAAAAAACAUUUCAUCCGAAUUUGUAAACAGAGACUACUGCAAGUUUCUUAUGAAUGUUUUCUGCUUAGAUGCAUAACAGAAAGCCUCAUGCAAGAAUAAAAUGUUCAUUAUUAAAAUUUUCUUCAACACACACUUCUCUUUCAAGAAUUAGUCUCCACUAAAGAAGCCAAAUUGAUGGUAUUUGGAAAGCAAGCCAACUGACUAGAAACAUGCUCCCAUAAUGAGCUUUUACCUACAAGGCAGUUUUCGCUGUAGUAGCAAGAUAUUUGGUAAGCUUAAACGGAGUAACAUGGUCAGUAGGAUUCAUUCAUAUAGCUGACCUCAACUUGGUUGGAAAAGAGCUAUUGUGGGGUUAUAUGAUAGAAGGAUGUCUACAAAAGUGGGUAAGCUUUACAAAAUAGUUAUAAGACCGACAAUGCUAUAUGAUAGUAAAUGUUGAGCCGCUAAAGUCCAACAUAUCCACAAGAUGAGUGUUCCAGAGAUGUGGAUGCUAAGAUAGAUGUGUGGUCAUACAAGAAUAGACAAGAUUUAAGAAGGCCACAAUCGCCGGAAGGUGCAACUAACACAGAUUGAGGAUAAAAUGAGG